RNAcentral lists this transfer RNA (73 nucleotides) under Gaiellaceae bacterium. RNAcentral's name for it is "tRNA-Lys". It matches the Rfam family "tRNA". Rfam says of the family: Transfer RNA (tRNA) molecules are approximately 80 nucleotides in length. Their secondary structure includes four short double-helical elements and three loops (D, anti-codon, and T loops). The record is from RNAcentral. RNAcentral also lists the same sequence under 3 other names. Lineage: Bacteria; Bacillati; Actinomycetota; Thermoleophilia; Gaiellales; Gaiellaceae.
GGGCCGUUAGCUCAGCUGGUAGAGCAGGGGACUUUUAAUCCCAAGGUCGUUGGUUCGAGCCCAACACGGCCCA